GGCAGACGGGUGAGUAACGCGUAGGAAUCUACCCCAGAGUGGAGCAUAGCCGGCCGAAAGGUCGGGUAAUUCUCCAUGGUCCGAGCAAUCGGUAAAGCAGUAAUGCGCUUUGGGAGGAGCCUGCGUCCUAUCAGCUAGUUGGCGGGGUAAAUGCCCACCAAGGCAAUGACGGGUAGCUGGACUGAGAGGUCGAACAGCCACAACUGCACUGAGACACGGGCAGUACAUCUGCGGAUGGCAGCAACCAGGAAUAUUGCGCAAUGGACGAAAGUCUGACGCAGCGACGCCGCGUGGAGGAAGACGGUCUACGGAUUGUAAACUCCUUUUGCCAAGCCCUUCACAGCUUGGCGAAUAAGCCUCUACUAACUACGUGCCAGAAGUCUCGGUAAUACGUAGGAGGCAAGCGUUAUCCGGAUUCAUUGGGCGUAAAGUGUGUGUAGGCGUUCUGUUAAGUCAUAACUGAAAUCCCAAGGCUUACCCUUGGAGUUGGUUAUGAUACUAAUAGAAUUGAGGUUUGACAGGGGUGCUGGAACAGUUAAUGUAGCAGUGAAAUGCGUUGAUAUUAACUGGAACACCAAAGGCGAAGGCAGGCACCUGGGUUUUACCUGACGCUGAGGCACGAAAGCUAGGGGAGCGAAACAGAUUAGAGACCUGUGUAGUCCUAGCCGUAAACGAUGCUCGCUAGCUCUGAGCGCAAGCUCGGGGCGUAAGCUAACGCGUUAAGCGAGCCGCCUGGGGAGUACGGCCGCAAGGCUAAAACUCAAAGGAAUUGACGGGGACCCGCAC
Molecule: ribosomal RNA, 786 nt
Filed under: uncultured bacterium
Lineage: Bacteria
Description: bacterial SSU rRNA
Rfam family: Bacterial small subunit ribosomal RNA
Source: RNAcentral